CAGUCGCCACGGGAAUACGGAGGGUGCAAGCGUUAAUCGGAAUUACUGGGCGUAAAGCGCACGCAGGCGGUCUGUCAAGUCGGAUGUGAAAUCCCCGGGCUCAACCUGGGAACUGCAUUCGAAACUGGCAGGCUAGAGUCUUGUAGAGGGGGGUAGAAUUCCAGGUGUAGCGGUGAAAUGCGUAGAGAUCUGGAGGAAUACCGAUGGCGAAGGCAGCCAUCUGGCCUAAUACUGACGCUGAGGUACGAAAGCAUGGGGAGCAAACAGGAUUAGAUACCCCGGUAGUCCCUGUCUCUUAUAC
RNAcentral lists this ribosomal RNA (301 nucleotides) under uncultured bacterium. RNAcentral's name for it is "partial 16S ribosomal RNA". It matches the Rfam family "Bacterial small subunit ribosomal RNA", at positions 509 to 807 of the family's 1533-position model. The record is from RNAcentral.